RNAcentral lists this small RNA (124 nucleotides) under Marmota monax (woodchuck). Lineage: Eukaryota; Metazoa; Chordata; Mammalia; Rodentia; Sciuridae. The record is from RNAcentral.
GCUGGGCGAGGUGGCACACACCUGUAAUCCCAGCAGCUCGGGAGGCUGAGGCAGGAGGAUCUCAAGUUCAAAGCCAGACUCAGCAAAAGCUAGGUGCAAGCAACUCAGUGAGACCCUGUCUCUA